Molecule: transfer RNA, 116 nt
Filed under: Vibrio sp. MED222
Lineage: Bacteria; Pseudomonadati; Pseudomonadota; Gammaproteobacteria; Vibrionales; Vibrionaceae
Description: tRNA-Leu
Rfam family: tRNA (bases 38-110)
About the family: Transfer RNA (tRNA) molecules are approximately 80 nucleotides in length. Their secondary structure includes four short double-helical elements and three loops (D, anti-codon, and T loops).
Source: RNAcentral
GCUUAGGUCGCGGAGAGAUGGUGUUUUACUCUUCAGUGGUGGUGGAAUUGGUAGACACAAGGGAUUUAAAAUCCCUCGGCGUUCGCGCUGUGCCGGUUCAAGUCCGGCCCGGGGCA